RNAcentral lists this ribosomal RNA (764 nucleotides) under Salmonella enterica subsp. enterica serovar Infantis. RNAcentral's name for it is "partial 23S ribosomal RNA". It matches the Rfam family "Bacterial large subunit ribosomal RNA", at positions 2179 to 2925 of the family's 2925-position model. The record is from RNAcentral. Lineage: Bacteria; Pseudomonadati; Pseudomonadota; Gammaproteobacteria; Enterobacterales; Enterobacteriaceae.
UGUGGAGCCGACCUUGAAAUACCACCCUUUAAUGUUUGAUGUUCUAACGUGGACCCGUGAUCCGGGUUGCGGACAGUGUCUGGUGGGUAGUUUGACUGGGGCGGUCUCCUCCUAAAGAGUAACGGAGGAGCACGAAGGUUGGCUAAUCCUGGUCGGACAUCAGGAGGUUAGUGCAAUGGCAUAAGCCAGCUUGACUGCGAGCGUGACGGCGCGAGCAGGUGCGAAAGCAGGUCAUAGUGAUCCGGUGGUUCUGAAUGGAAGGGCCAUCGCUCAACGGAUAAAAGGUACUCCGGGGAUAACAGGCUGAUACCGCCCAAGAGUUCAUAUCGACGGCGGUGUUUGGCACCUCGAUGUCGGCUCAUCACAUCCUGGGGCUGAAGUAGGUCCCAAGGGUAUGGCUGUUCGCCAUUUAAAGUGGUACGCGAGCUGGGUUUAGAACGUCGUGAGACAGUUCGGUCCCUAUCUGCCGUGGGCGCUGGAGAACUGAGGGGGGCUGCUCCUAGUACGAGAGGACCGGAGUGGACGCAUCACUGGUGUUCGGGUUGUCAUGCCAAUGGCACUGCCCGGUAGCUAAAUGCGGAAGAGAUAAGUGCUGAAAGCAUCUAAGCACGAAACUUGCCCCGAGAUGAGUUCUCCCUGAGACUUAGAGUCUCCUGAAGGAACGUUGAAGACGACGACGUUGAUAGGCCGGGUGUGUAAGCGCAGCGAUGCGUUGAGCUAACCGGUACUAAUGAACCGUGAGGCUUAACCUUACAACGCCGAAG